RNAcentral lists this small RNA (516 nucleotides) under uncultured Glomus. Its description in RNAcentral is "SSU rRNA". It matches the Rfam family "Eukaryotic small subunit ribosomal RNA", at positions 569 to 1087 of the family's 1831-position model. The record is from RNAcentral. Lineage: Eukaryota; Fungi; Glomeromycota; Glomeromycetes; Glomerales; Glomeraceae.
AGCAGCCGCGGUAAUUCCAGCUCCAAUAGCGUAUAUUAAAGUUGUUGCAGUUAAAAAGCUCGUAGUUGAAUUUCGGGGUCAGUAGAUUGGUCGUGCCACUGGUAUGUACUGGUCUUACUGGCUCCUCCUUCCUGAUGAACCGUAAUGCCAUUAAUUUGGUGUUGCGGGGAGACUGGACUGUUACUUUGAAAAAUUAGAGUGUUUAAAGCAGGCUAACGCUUGAAUACAUUAGCAUGGAAUAAUGAAAUAGGACGUUCGAUCUUAUUUUGUUGGUUUCUAAGAUUGACGUAAUGAUUAAUAGGGAUAGUUGGGGGCAUUAGUAUUCAAUUGUCAGAGGUGAAAUUCUUGGAUUUAUUGAAGACUAACUACUGCGAAAGCAUUUGCCAAGGAUGUUUUCAUUAAUCAAGAACGAAAGUUAGGGGAUCGAAGACGAUCAGAUACCGUCGUAGUCUUAACCAUAAACUAUGCCGACUAGGGAUCGGAUGAUGUUAAUUUUUAAUGACUCAUUCGGCGUAC